Spinacia oleracea (spinach) is the source of this 2008-nucleotide long non-coding RNA. RefSeq lists it as uncharacterized. The record is from RefSeq and is a predicted model, not a curated record. Lineage: Eukaryota; Viridiplantae; Streptophyta; Magnoliopsida; Caryophyllales; Amaranthaceae. The transcript is spliced from 5 exons.
UCAGAAACCAUAACUCUUACUUCUCUCUCCCUCCCCUGCCCUGUACAGCGAAAAUCUAACCCCAAUCCCUCAAUUUUCCGAUCUAAUUGAAUUCGCAGCGAUUCAUUCAUCUCAAAUUUCUCACUCCUUUAUUCUCAAUCAAAACCCCCGAUUUAUAUUCUUGCAUAUCACCAAUUUCUACAGCUAAUCGAAUUUGAAUAAAAGAACCCUAAUUUUCGAAAUCUGAAUUUCAAUUUCCGACUUUAAUUGAUACAAUAGUUUCCAAUUUUUCCAAUUGUAAAGUGUAUCAGCCUUGGAGGUUUCGUAUGGUGAGUCAAGUCGUGGAGUUCAAACAACAGCUAACAGAGCAAGGGAUGAAUCGCAACCUCAAACAACCGAUAUUAUAGCCGCCGUUGGUUGGGGUGUCGCCGCCGCCGCCACCAGGGGCCUUUAUCUCGUCCAGAAAUACGUAUAAAUAUAUGAAUCAAUUUGUGGUAAACUACAGCAGACCGGGGGUUCGAAUUCCUCUUUUCCCGUUUCAAUUCCCGGGAGUGAAUGUAGGACGUGCAGACGGUGCAUAAAGUGUGAACAUUCAACCAAAAGCGUUUUAAGGGAGUUGACUCGCUAAAGCUAUGCUUUUGUUUACACGCCAAACGAUGCAGGAAUCUAAGUUGAGUGAUUCAGUAAGAUAGAAGAGCAACAGUUUGUUUCCUAGUUUCCUACAGGUUGACCGACUCCGCGACUGUUGUCAUGGAAAAAAAUCGAGUUUCCGUCAAAGAAUCAUGCUUAACACAGCCUAUAGCGUAAAUUCGAACCGCGUCUAAACUAAAUUAAGGAUUUGAUAGUAUUGAUUGACGAUUAGUUUAAAUUGGUUGGAGAUUUGAUCGAAAUUUUCAAAUUUUAGCAAUAGGAUUGAAGACGAUUGGAUGAGCUCUGCAUCUUGGCCUCCAAUUUCGGUAUUGAUUAUUUAUCUGUUGCUUUGAUGACUUGGCUCCUUCUCAUCUUGUUUUCCUUGAAAACAGGGUAAGUGUUGUACUUUAAAUUAUCCAUUAGUUACAUUCUUGCAUCCAAUAAUGAUUUUUAUUAGAACUUUGAGGGUGCAAAUUUUUAAGGAGUAAUAUUUGUUAUAGUUUACAAAGAGGAAAGCAGUGUCAAUAAUUUUGGUUUGCCUUGAUGUAUUCAUGCAUUUAGGCAUGGAAACCAUACUAGAUUAAGGAUCAGUUUGAAUUCGAGCAAAUAUCAGGCUAAAUCAGGUAUGUUACAUAUUCUCAUCACCAAAUGAGCUUUUUAGUGGAAAGGGAACAGAAAGAAGGAUUAGAUUCUGAGUGCUUUUUUCUGCAGCUUAUGAUGGUGAUUGGAGCUUCAACUCUUGUUUUGUUGGAACAGUUGUAACCUGGAGACAUUUAGCACUAACAGAUGUGAACGUUCAAUUGCUGUUCUCGAGGCUGAGUUCGACCAAGUAUCUCCACCUGAGCUUCUGAAGAAUUUUGAAGAGCCCAUGAAUGCUAAGCGCCCUAAGAAACCAAAGGAGGUUCCAGCAAUGUUUUCAGACCUGUCAUCAGAUUCUGCAGACGAUUCAGAUCACCACUCAUAUCAGAAUUUUACUGAAGGAAAAACUACUGACUUUCUGUACUCUAUAAUCUCUGUAGUUUAGUGCUGCUGGUGUUUGUUUACUGUGUGCAAUGUUGCUCUUCUGGUGUUUGCCUCUGCUUCUUCUAGCUUCUGGUUUUUGCAGGGUGUUGCUUUGGGGGGAAGGACUGUUGGUUUUGCUGUUUCUAUGCAGGCUGGCAGCUUCUUUGCUCAAGCUGGGUUCUGCUGCUUGGUUGUUGCGCUUCUUUGCACAAGCUGGGUGUUCCUUUGCUGCUUCUUCUUCAGCUUUGUUGCUUGUGUUGUUCAUUGUUUCUUUUAUUUGUUUUGCAGGCUGCUUUGCCUUUGUUUUUAGUGUUUUCUGGUGUUUCUUUGUUUGUUCUUCCUGUACUCUACCUUUUGGUAAUAAAUUUCUAUUUACCAAAAAAAAAAUGGUCAUUUU